GAUGAAGAACGUAGCGAAAUGCGAUAAGUAAUGUGAAUUGCAGAAUUCAGUGAAUCAUCGAAUCUUUGAACGCACAUUGCGCCCCUUGGUAUUCCGAGGGGCAUGCCUGUUCGAGCGUCAUUACACCACUCAAGCUAUGCUUGGUAUUGGGCGUCGUCCUUAGUUGGGCGCGCCUUAAAGACCUCGGCGAGGCCACUCCGGCUUUAGGCGUAGUAGAAUUUAUUCGAACGUCUGUCAAAGGAGAGGAACUCUGCCGACUGAACCCUUUAUUUUUCUAGGUUGACCUCGGAUCAGGUAGGGAUACCCGCUGAACUUAAGCAUAUCAAUAAGCGGAGGA
This 337-nucleotide unclassified non-coding RNA is filed under the name soil metagenome. RNAcentral's name for it is "partial contains 5.8S ribosomal RNA, internal transcribed spacer 2, and large subunit ribosomal RNA". The stretch from base 1 to 120 matches the Rfam family "5.8S ribosomal RNA", at positions 35 to 154 of the family's 154-position model. The record is from RNAcentral.